Molecule: ribosomal RNA, 465 nt
Filed under: uncultured bacterium
Lineage: Bacteria
Description: partial 16S ribosomal RNA
Rfam family: Bacterial small subunit ribosomal RNA
Source: RNAcentral
CCUACGUGAGGCAGCAGUAGGGAAUCUUCCACAAUGGGCGAAAGCCUGAUGGAGCAACGCCGCGUGGGUGAAGAAGGUCUUCGGAUCGUAAAACCCUGUUGUUAGAGAAGAAAGUGCGUGAGAGUAACUGUUCACGUUUCGACGGUAUCUAACCAGAAAGCCACGGCUAACUACGUGCCAGCAGCCGCGGUAAUACGUAGGUGGCAAGCGUUAUCCGGAUUUAUUGGGCGUAAAGGGAACGCCGGCGGUCUUUUAAGUCUGAUGUGAAAGCCUUCGGCUUAACCGGAGUAGUGCAUUGGAAACUGGGAGACUUGAGUGCAGAAGAGGAGAGUGGAACUCCAUGUGUAGCGGUGAAAUGCGUAGAUAUAUGGAAGAACACCAGUGGCGAAAGCGGCUCUCUGGUCUGUAACUGACGCUGAGGUUCGAAAGCGUGGGUAGCAAACAGGAUUAGAUACCCGGGUAGUC